UGGAACACAGUGUCUGCUCAAA
This 22-nucleotide unclassified non-coding RNA is filed under the name Mus musculus (house mouse). RNAcentral's name for it is "oocyte_clustered_small_RNA9031". The record is from RNAcentral. Lineage: Eukaryota; Metazoa; Chordata; Mammalia; Rodentia; Muridae.